Molecule: transfer RNA, 77 nt
Filed under: Mailhella sp.
Lineage: Bacteria; Pseudomonadati; Thermodesulfobacteriota; Desulfovibrionia; Desulfovibrionales; Desulfovibrionaceae
Also listed under: 1 other name
Description: tRNA-Arg
Rfam family: tRNA
About the family: Transfer RNA (tRNA) molecules are approximately 80 nucleotides in length.
Source: RNAcentral
GUCUCUGUAGCUCAGUAGGAUAGAGCGUUCGCCUCCUAAGCGAAAGGUCGUGGGUUCGAAUCUCGCCAGGGACACCA